Molecule: long non-coding RNA, 676 nt
Filed under: Rattus norvegicus (Norway rat)
Lineage: Eukaryota; Metazoa; Chordata; Mammalia; Rodentia; Muridae
Description: long non-coding RNA NONRATT006598
Source: RNAcentral
UACAACAAAAGUGAUGGACAGUGCUUAGUGGCCAAGCAUCGGACAGACAGCAUUCACCUAAAUGACUUUUAUCCUGGAGCAAAUUCAACAAAGCAACAGUGUUUGGUGGUCCCCAGACACACAGCUCAGCCUGUGCCCAUACAGCCUUUUCGUGGACAUAAGUGUUCCCCAGCAGUAUUACUCCGGUGUCCUCCACAACUGAACCUGUCUGUCGCUUAUGUAGAUCAGGGUUCCAGGCGACCUGCCUGAAGUUUUCAGCAGUAACUCAGGAUGGACACAUGAGUCACAGAGGUUGCGUCUAUCCAGUCACCUCUGACUGUAUCCCAUUUUCACACUGCCCCCAGGAGGAUGUAGAAAAGCGCAAUGUUCCAGCUUUCUUCUCUUGUGCCAUCUGGCACACCCCUAUUCUGACCAGGCCUCCCAGUUGUGUAGAGUAUGACAUCAUCAGAAAAUAGACACACAAGUGUGUGCACCCAUGCCUACUUGCUUGUGAUAUUGAAGUCACUUCUCGCCUGUGCUUUCUUGAACAUUUAGUAAGGAAAUGGAUCAGACAUUCCUCUUUUUUAAAAAAGAACUAUCAUUCUUUCUCUCAAAUAUCUGUGUCCAAAUAUGUGCUUUGGAAGUUUGAACAGCAAGCUUUUCCUGGUUUUAAAAAUGCAAAGAUAAUCUCCAUGAA